GAACUUCUGUUUUGAUGGAUGUGGCAAGCGGCUUGCUUUUCCUGAGAUCAGAUCAUCUCCUGUGGGGGAGAUCAGGCUUCUCCAGGGCCAGCUGGGAGAGCACGGCGGGGGGGGGGGGGGACGGGAGGGCUGCGCAGGCGCCUUUAGGAAGCAGCUUAGGACCUGGUUUUGAAUCCCGGCCGGGGGGGGGGGGGGGCCUCUGGGGACAUGGCCCCACUUCCUCCCUCUGCUCCAGGACUCAGCACGCACAGGCUGUUGGAAAGUUUCAGAAAAAGAGCACCAGCCCUCAGUGGGCGUAUUCCCGGGAGAAGCCCAAGGGCUGGCUCCCAAGAAAUGCCCCCGCCUCUCUCCUGGGUCUUCCUGGCAAGCCCCUCUCUGCACCCUUUGGCAGUCUGAUGGAAGAAGCUGAUGGAUGGAUGGGAAGUUGUCUCAUCCUCCACCCAACCUUUCCCUUCCUCCCCCGCCCCCCACUCCCCUCCUGGCUCCAGGGAGCUGUGAAGCUCUUCCUGAUGAGGCUGUGUCUCCGGACCCACGUGAGCCGCAGAUGCCGGACUUGGGGGCGCCUGACCUUGAACUAUGACCUUCGAGCCUGA
This 593-nucleotide long non-coding RNA is filed under the name Oryctolagus cuniculus (rabbit). RNAcentral describes it as "lncRNA (ENSOCUG00000035696.1)". The record is from RNAcentral. Lineage: Eukaryota; Metazoa; Chordata; Mammalia; Lagomorpha; Leporidae.